GGAGUUAGCCGGUGCUUCUUCUGUGAGUGAUGUCCUUCCUGCCGGCUAUUAACCCGCAGGCCUUCUUCCUCACUGAAAGUGCUUUACAACCCGAAGGCCUUCUUCACACACGCGGCAUGGCUGGAUCAGGGUUGCCCCCAUUGUCCAAUAUUCCCCACUGCUGCCUCCCGUAGGAGUCUGGGCCGUGUCUCAGUCCCAGUGUGGCUGAUCAUCCUCUCAGACCAGCUACGGAUCGUCGCCUUGGUGAGCCGUUACCUCACCAACCAGCUAAUCCGACAUAGGCUCAUCCGAUAGCGCGAGGCCCGAAGGUCCCCCGCUUUCCCCCGUAGGGCGUAUGCGGUAUUAGCCUGGGUUUCCCCCAGGUUAUCCCCCACUACCGGGCAGAUUCCUAUGCAUUACUCACCCGUCCGCCGCUCGCCACCAGGGAGCAAGCUCCCCGUGCUGCCGCUCGACUUGCAUGUGUUAGGCCUGCCGCCAGCGUUCAAUCUGAGCAGANACAACUCUGA
Molecule: ribosomal RNA, 506 nt
Filed under: uncultured bacterium
Lineage: Bacteria
Description: partial 16S ribosomal RNA
Source: RNAcentral